Molecule: ribosomal RNA, 433 nt
Filed under: uncultured bacterium
Lineage: Bacteria
Description: partial 16S ribosomal RNA
Rfam family: Bacterial small subunit ribosomal RNA
Source: RNAcentral
AACGAACGCUGGCGGCAUGCCUAACACAUGCAAGUCGAACGAGACCUUCGGGUCUAGUGGCGCACGGGUGCGUAACGCGUGGGAACCUGCCCUUAGGUUCGGAAUAACUCCCCGAAAGGGGUGCUAAUACCGGAUAAUGUCUUCGGACCAAAGAUUUAUCGCCUUUGGAUGGGCCCGCGUUGGAUUAGCUAGUUGGUAGGGUAAAAGCCUACCAAGGCGACGAUCCAUAGCUGGUCUGAGAGGAUGAUCAGCCACACUGGGACUGAGACACGGCCCAGACUCCUACGGGAAGCAGUAGUGGGGAAUAUUGGACAAUGGGCGAAAGCCUGAUCCAGCAAUGCCGCGUGAGUGAUGAAGGCCUUAGGGUUGUAAAGCUCUUUUACCCGGGAUGAUAAUGACAGUACCGGGAGAAUAAGCUCCGGCUAACUCCGUG